RNAcentral lists this ribosomal RNA (567 nucleotides) under Bacillus sp. (in: firmicutes). RNAcentral's name for it is "bacterial SSU rRNA". It matches the Rfam family "Bacterial small subunit ribosomal RNA", at positions 69 to 617 of the family's 1533-position model. The record is from RNAcentral. Lineage: Bacteria; Bacillati; Bacillota; Bacilli; Caryophanales; Bacillaceae.
AUGGAUUAAGAGCUUGCUCUUAUGAAGUUAGCGGCGGACGGGUGAGUAACACGUGGGUAACCUACCCAUAAGACUGGGAUAACUCCGGGAAACCGGGGCUAAUACCGGAUAAUAUUUUGAACUGCAUAGUUCGAAAUUGAAAGGCGGCUUCGGCUGUCACUUAUGGAUGGACCCGCGUCGCAUUAGCUAGUUGGUGAGGUAACGGCUCACCAAGGCGACGAUGCGUAGCCGACCUGAGAGGGUGAUCGGCCACACUGGGACUGAGACACGGCCCAGACUCCUACGGGAGGCAGCAGUAGGGAAUCUUCCGCAAUGGACGAAAGUCUGACGGAGCAACGCCGCGUGAGUGAUGAAGGCUUUCGGGUCGUAAAACUCUGUUGUUAGGGAAGAACAAGUGCUAGUUGAAUAAGCUGGCACCUUGACGGUACCUAACCAGAAAGCCACGGCUAACUACGUGCCAGCAGCCGCGGUAAUACGUAGGUGGCAAGCGUUAUCCGGAAUUAUUGGGCGUAAAGCGCGCGCAGGUGGUUUCUUAAGUCUGAUGUGAAAGCCCACGGCUCAACCGUG